Jaculus jaculus (lesser Egyptian jerboa) is the source of this 146-nucleotide small nucleolar RNA. RefSeq annotates it as small nucleolar RNA SNORA48. The record is from RefSeq and is a predicted model, not a curated record. The transcript has a single exon. NCBI's taxonomy places the organism in Eukaryota, Metazoa, Chordata, Mammalia, Rodentia, Dipodidae.
AUCCCCUGACAACGGGCAAAGAAACACCUCAUUGGUGGUGGUGGUCUUGUAUCAAUCAGGAACAGAACAGAGAUGCACGUCCCUUGUUCAUCCUAACUUGAUGCCUGGCUUGGUGGACAAAGCUGUUUCAUGCGUGGGGCACAAUC